GUGAGCAACCUGCCUUUCGAGAGGGGGAUAACGCAGAGAAAUUUGCGCUAAUACCGCGAUGAUAUGUACAGAAGCGCAUGCUUCAAACAUCAAAGGAGCAAUCCGCGUGAGAGAUGGGCUCGGCAUCCGAUUAGAUAGUUGGUGAGGUAACGGCUCACCCAAGUCGACGAUCGGUAGCCGGACUGAGAGGUUGAACGGCCACAUUGGAACUGAGAUACGGUCCAGACUCCUACGGGAGGCAGCAGUGGGGAAUAUUGGGCAAUGGGCGAAAGCCUCGACCCAGCAACGCCGCGUGAGGGAAGAAGGUCUUCGGAUUGUAAACCUUUGUCUUAUGGGACGAUAAUGACGGUACCAUAGGAGGAAGCCACGACUAACUACGUGCCAGCCGCUGC
RNAcentral lists this ribosomal RNA (392 nucleotides) under uncultured bacterium. RNAcentral describes it as "bacterial SSU rRNA". It matches the Rfam family "Bacterial small subunit ribosomal RNA", at positions 117 to 518 of the family's 1533-position model. The record is from RNAcentral.